This 191-nucleotide transfer RNA is filed under the name Marmota monax (woodchuck). RNAcentral's name for it is "tRNA.Ile". Lineage: Eukaryota; Metazoa; Chordata; Mammalia; Rodentia; Sciuridae. The record is from RNAcentral.
GGUUGUAGCUCAGUGGUAGAGCACUUGCCUAAUAGGUGUGAGGCACUGGAUUUGAUCCUCAGCACCCCAUAAAAAUAAAUACAAUGAAGGUAUUUGUGUCUAUCUAAAACAAAAAAUAUUGGGCUGGGGUGUGGCAGUGGUGGAGUGCUCACCUAGCACGCAUGAGGCACUGGGUUCAAUCCUCAGCACCA